Molecule: long non-coding RNA, 962 nt
Organism: Lathyrus oleraceus (garden pea)
Lineage: Eukaryota; Viridiplantae; Streptophyta; Magnoliopsida; Fabales; Fabaceae
Exons: 2
Source: RefSeq, a predicted model, not a curated record
CCGAUUUCUAUCCCUUGAUUUAUCCCUUGUUUUUAUCCCUUAAAACUCUAGGAUUUUAUCUCAUAUUUAUCCAUACAAAUUUAUAUUCAAUUAACCAUAAUUCUUCAUUUUAUUAAUCCCUAAUUAAUUAAAUAUGUGUUAUUUUAUAUUAAACGAGAAACUUAUUAAAUCAAUUAGUUAUAAAGAUUGAUGAUAUAUUUUAUCCCUUAACCCUAAUUAUUAUCCCUAAUUAGAUUAAUCAACCUUAAGUUUAUCCCAAGAAGUGAUCCCACUAUCCCAAAAUUAUCCCAAAGAUCCAACUUAAUUAAUCCGAAUUAAUUAAUUUUCACUAAAUAAUUAUAUAUUUUUUUCAUUUUUGAAUAUUUAAUUAUUUUGUGUUUUUUACUUGUUAUGUUAAUAAUAAGAUUAGUUAAAAAUAAUAAAAAUCCAUUAAAGUAUAGGAUAGCAAACAAAACAUAAGGUUUAUCUCCUCUUCCUGGUGUGACAGAAACUUUCAAACUCAGAAAUCCAACUCAAGAACCAUGCCUCUCUACCCUUAAAUCAAUAUCGCCCAAAUCAGGCUCAAACAAUGCAGUCAAAGGGAACAACACAACAUUGGUAAGGGAUAGCAAAAGGCGUGUGAGUCUUUCAAAGAAUAUGGUGGUUUAUCAGCCUCGGGGGCUCUUUUACGGUGGAGCGUGUUUGUGUUGCGUCAACGGCGGGGGUGUCGCAGUCGGUUUUUCGGCGGAGGGCGACGUGGUUCGGAGAGGGCACGACUAUUGAACUCCGGUUGUAAGGUGAAGUUUGGAUAAGUUGGUUUUGUGAAGGAGAUUGCGGACUUGGUUACGUUUUUUCUUAGAAAACAUUUUACAAAGGCAAUGUUUAUAGACCUAAACUAAAUUUAGUUUGAAAUUGAAACAAGUUAUGAAUAUUGAUUUUAAAAUAGGUUAUGAGAAUUUGAUUAUGCUAUUGCUUUUUCGACA